RNAcentral lists this ribosomal RNA (796 nucleotides) under uncultured bacterium. RNAcentral describes it as "bacterial SSU rRNA". It matches the Rfam family "Bacterial small subunit ribosomal RNA", at positions 8 to 796 of the family's 1533-position model. The record is from RNAcentral.
AGAGUUUGAUCCUGGCUCAGAACGAACGCUGGCGGCGUGGAUAAGACAUGCAAGUCGAACGAUCACUAUUGGGUAGCAAUAUUCGGUAGUGGGAGUGGCGCAAGGGUGCGUAACACGUGGGUAAUUUGCCGUAAAGUCUGGGAUAACUUGCUGAAAGGCGAGCUAAUACCGGAUGUGAUUGCUGGAGGGCAUCCUCUGGCACUUAAAGUCGGGGACCGUAAGGCCUGACACUUUUCGAUAAGCCCGCGGCCUAUCAGCUAGUUGGUGAGGUAAUGGCUUACCAAGGCGACGACGGGUAGCCGGCCUGAGAGGGUGACCGGCCACACUGGGACUGAGACACGGCCCAGACUCCUACGGGAGGCAGCAGUGGGGAAUAUUGCACAAUGGGCGCAAGCCUGAUGCAGCGACGCCGCGUGAGGGAUGACGGCCUUCGGGUUGUAAACCUCUUUCAGUAGGGAAGAAGCGAAAGUGACGGUACCUGCAGAAGAAGCGCCGGCUAACUACGUGCCAGCAGCCGCGGUAAUACGUAGGGCGCAAGCGUUAUCCGGAAUUAUUGGGCGUAAAGAGCUCGUAGGCGGUUUGUCGCGUCUGCCGUGAAAGUCCGGGGCUCAACUCCGGAUCUGCGGUGGGUACGGGCAGACUAGAGUGAUGUAGGGGAGACUGGAAUUCCUGGUGUAGCGGUGAAAUGCGCAGAUAUCAGGAGGAACACCGAUGGCGAAGGCAGGUCUCUGGGCAUUAACUGACGCUGAGGAGCGAAAGCAUGGGGAGCGAACAGGAUUAGAUACCCUGGUAGUCC